GAAAUAAACCUGAUGGGUUGUUGCUGGUUCUCUAGGGAGCAUGUGCACGCCUUGUCAUCUUUAUAUCUCCACCUGUGCACCUUUUGUAGACCUUCCAGGUCUAUGUUGCUUCAUUUACCCCAAUGUAUGUUAAUAGAAUGUUGUGCCUACAAAAUACAUACAACUUUCAGCAACGGAUCUCUUGGCUCUCGCAUCGAUGAAGAACGCAGCGAAAUGCGAUAAGUAAUGUGAAUUGCAGAAUUCAGUGAAUCAUCGAAUCUUUGAACGCACCUUGCGCUCCUUGGUAUUCUGAGGAGCAUGCCUGUUUGAGUGUCAUUAAUAUAUAUCAACCUCUCUCUUGUUGGAGUGGUUUGGAUGUGGGGGUUUGCUGGCCUCUUAAAGAGUUCAGCUCCCUUGAAAUGCAUUAGCAGAACAGACCUGUUCAUUGGUGUGAUAACUAUCUACGCUAUUGAAUGUGAGGGGAAGUUCAGCUUUCUAACUGUCCUUGGACAAAUUAUCAUUUAUGUGACCUCAAAUCAGGUAGGACUACCCGCUGAACUUAAGCAUAUCAAUAAGCGGAGGAAAAGAAACUAACAAGGAUUCCCCUAGUAACUGCGAGUGAAGCGGGAAAAGCUCAAAUUUAAAAUCUGGCGGUCUUUUGGCUGUCCGAGUUGUAAUCUAGAGAAGUGUUAUCCGCGUGGACCGUGUACAAGUCUCCUGGAAUGGAGCAUCAUAGAGGGUGAGAAUCCCGUCUUUGACAUGGACUGCCAGGGCUUUGUGAUGCGCUCUCAAAGAGUCGAGUUG
RNAcentral lists this ribosomal RNA (783 nucleotides) under uncultured Cortinarius. RNAcentral's name for it is "eukaryotic LSU rRNA". The stretch from base 506 to 783 matches the Rfam family "Eukaryotic large subunit ribosomal RNA", at positions 1 to 272 of the family's 3401-position model. The record is from RNAcentral. Lineage: Eukaryota; Fungi; Basidiomycota; Agaricomycetes; Agaricales; Cortinariaceae.